GCAUUGGUGGUUCAGUGGUAGAAUUCUCACCUCCUAUGUGGGAGACCUGGGUUCAAAUCCUGCCCAGUGCA
Molecule: transfer RNA, 71 nt
Organism: Loxodonta africana (African savanna elephant)
Lineage: Eukaryota; Metazoa; Chordata; Mammalia; Proboscidea; Elephantidae
Rfam family: tRNA
About the family: Transfer RNA (tRNA) molecules are approximately 80 nucleotides in length.
Source: Rfam